GGAUGUGAGGGUGAUCUAGCUGCAACAUCUGUCACCCCAUUGAUUGCCAGGGUUGAUUCAGCUGAUCUGGCUGGCUAGGCAGGUGUCCCCUUCCUCCCUCACUGCUCCAUGUGCGUCCCUCCCGAAGCUGUGUGCUCGGUCGAAGAGGACGACCACUCCAGAUAGAGGAGGACCAUUUCCUUGGUCAAGGGUAUACGAGUAGCUGUGGUCCCCUGCUAGAACCUCCAAACAAGCUCUCAAGAAAUGGAAUCCAUGAAACAGAUUUAAACAGAUAUUCAGGAGAUUAAAAACUCCCU
Molecule: non-coding RNA, 296 nt
Organism: Heterocephalus glaber (naked mole-rat)
Lineage: Eukaryota; Metazoa; Chordata; Mammalia; Rodentia; Bathyergidae
Source: Rfam